Molecule: ribosomal RNA, 117 nt
Filed under: Salipaludibacillus agaradhaerens
Lineage: Bacteria; Bacillati; Bacillota; Bacilli; Caryophanales; Bacillaceae
Also listed under: 3 other names
Source: RNAcentral
UUCAGUGACAAUCGCGGAGAGGUCACACCCGUUCCCAUGCCGAACACGGUAGUUAAGCUCUCCAGCGCCGAUGAUAGUUGGGGGCUCUCCCCCUGUGAAAGUAGGACGUCGCUGAGC